UUUUGGGCUCUUAACACAAAAUAUCUGUAUGCAUCCGACACAUUCAUGUGGUUAUUAUUCAACCUGUGUACCAUGAAAAAGGAUGAUUAUUAGAUUAACUGGCUGAUACAAAAAAAAAGACUGAUUUGCUUUUGCAGUGAUAACAUGGUAUGGAAGCACAUCAGGCAAAGUUUAUCGAUUUUGAGUUCUCUUAUGUUGAUAAGAAUGUACCAUUCCUUAAUGUGGGGUGUUUCAGUCCAGCAGCCUGAAAUUCAAAGGAAAAGAUAAAAUGGAGUUAAUAUAUAGGUUCACUGUUCAGUAAUACUAUGACAACUGUAAAAGCAGUGCUUCGUCUUACUUGUAUUGACUUCAUCACCUCCUAAGUGGGCAAAUUUGAAUUUGAAAACCUUGCUAAAAUCUGAAAGAAAACAGAGUUAAUAAUCCAUUUAGACUGUUGACUAAUAUUUGCCAAUAGCUACUGAAUCUAGAUAAUGUACCCACUAUGUAUUAUGUGCAUUGGUCACUGGUUUCUUUUGGAACACACCCUCCGGAUAAAUGGUCUUUUGAAUAAACAAAUGAAGAACCUAACUCCACUGUUGCCAACAAAACUAGUAUGAUUCAUCACCUGAAAGAAUACCAUCAAUAACUUUGAAGGUAAAGUUGUUACUGACAUCAAGCGGUUCUCUGCAGCUAUCUGAUGGCCACAAUUCUGGGUAGCCAACACCCCUGAAAAAGUGCAACAUCUACAACUUUCAGCCAUGCUUAUUGCUAUGCAGACUAUAUAAAUUAAGUUGCAUAUUUGAACUCCAAUAAGGUAUCUUGACUCUACGCUCACUGGAUAAAAUUUGCCUUUUUGCUACAGAAGACAUCACGGAAUUGUGGACUAUAUGCAAGUCAAGGUUACAGCACUAUGCAUGCCACAAGAGAUGCUGGAAUGCGGUGAAGCACAAAAGAGAAAACUACCUUGAUGCCUUGUGAUAUAUACUCCGUGGAUACUCUGUCAGGCAAUUAUCACAAAGAAGAGAGGGGUUGCAGUAACUAGAAGUGAAGCAACC
Long non-coding RNA from Triticum aestivum (bread wheat), 1034 nucleotides. RefSeq lists it as uncharacterized. The transcript is spliced from 3 exons. NCBI's taxonomy places the organism in Eukaryota, Viridiplantae, Streptophyta, Magnoliopsida, Poales, Poaceae. The record is from RefSeq and is a predicted model, not a curated record.